Molecule: transfer RNA, 73 nt
Filed under: Trichonephila inaurata madagascariensis
Lineage: Eukaryota; Metazoa; Arthropoda; Arachnida; Araneae; Nephilidae
Rfam family: tRNA
About the family: Transfer RNA (tRNA) molecules are approximately 80 nucleotides in length.
Source: Rfam by way of RNAcentral
GCCCGGCUAGCUCAGUCGGUAGAGCACGAGACUCUUAAUCUUGAGGACGUGGGUUCAUGCCCCACGUUGGGCG